GUCGUAUUUGAUCACCCGAAUCUUAAUUUGUGGAGGAAAAACGUGUUUAAAAUGAACUGAACACAAAAACUAAAGAGUGACGUCACCGUUUCCCAGAAGCACCUGAACGCCCCAAAUCGGCAGAUCCUUCAGUUCUCAUUUUCAUCUCUGAAAGAAAGAACUGGAGGUAAAUACGGAACUAUUCUGUUAAAUUAAACUUUUUAAAAAGACCCAGGUUGAUUAAAAAUGUAAAAUAACUAUUUCUUCCUCACUGGUGUUCGGAGCAGAGCGUUAAUUUGGUAAAGAAAGAGAGCGGAGCGCCUCCCCCCGGAGGAGCCCCACGCGUCAGAAGUCUGAGUCGUCUGUGGCAGAGUUGUCUGGGUUGGCGGAGACCCCGAGUGUCUGAGGGGGGGCUUCGCUCGGAGCCGCCUCUUGCUGCUGCUGCUGCUUCCGGUCGUGGUUGCGGAUGUGCACGAGCAGCCCCCGCUCCGUCAUCUCGUAGAUCCGACACCUGGUGCAGAAGAACGGCGUCACGCCGACGUGCCGGAACUGAUCGGCCAGGUAGGAGGCGAGCGACGUGAAGCCCUUGUUGCAGAUGUCGCAGCGGGGGACCACGCCCGGGUGCUGCUGCUCCAGGUGCCUCCUCAGGCCCCACUUCGACCCCUUGUACCCCUCCUCCGCCGGCGGGCAGAGGAGGCAGGAGAACACGGCGCUCUGGUUGGCGUGCCGCUUGGUGUGGGCGUCCAGCUCCACCUGCGUGCGGACCUUGUGCUUGCAAGUGGCGCAGAAGAAGGUCUUCUUCCCCUCCAGCAGGUGGAGGUGCUUCAGGUGGACGGCCAGGUUCCCAAUGUAGUCCUCCCCGAGCUCCAGCACGCACUUGUUGCUCCCCAGCGGCUCCGCCUCCUGCUGCCGCCUCCUCACCUCCUCCUCCUCCUCCUCUCGGGCCCUCGGCUUCCUCUUCUGCCUCGGCCUCCGGGACAGCUUGGCGGGCGAAGGAGCAGUGGCGUCCACGCCGGGCCGGGUGUUUGAGCGCCGGCUUCCUGGCCGGGGAGCGGGCCGGGUCCACCGACAUGCUGAACUGGUAGCUCUCGCCGUCCUCUUCGGGGGUUUGAAUACUCGAUGACGUAAACGCCGCCGCCGUCCUCCUCCUCACCUCUUCCUCUCCUACUGCCUCCUCUCCCCCCCGGGGGGCACGGAAGAACUCCAUCUCGUAGCACGCCGCGGCGGCUUUCCCCCUCCCGCCGUUGUGAAAUUGCUCCUGUGCGAUGUGCGUGUCGUCGAUCCUCACCACCGUGAUCUGGUCCAUCCCGGUCGCGGGGCCCCAGGCGACGCCU
This is a long non-coding RNA of Gasterosteus aculeatus aculeatus (three-spined stickleback), 1313 nucleotides long. Lineage: Eukaryota; Metazoa; Chordata; Actinopteri; Perciformes; Gasterosteidae. The record is from Ensembl.